Molecule: ribosomal RNA, 271 nt
Filed under: uncultured bacterium
Lineage: Bacteria
Description: partial 16S ribosomal RNA
Rfam family: Bacterial small subunit ribosomal RNA
Source: RNAcentral
UACGAAGGGGGCUAGCGUUGCUCGGAAUGACUGGGCGUAAAGGGCGCGUAGGCGGUUUGAUCAGUUAGGUGUGAAAUUCCUGGGCUUAACCUGGGGGCUGCACUUAAUACGGUCAGACUUGAGUGUGAAAGAGGGUCGUGGAAUUCCCAGUGUCGAGGUGAAAUUCGUAGAUAUCGGGAAGAACACCGGUGGCGAAGGCGGCGACCUGGUUCAUUACUGACGCUGAGGCGCGAAAGCGUGGGGAGCAAACAGGAUUAGAUACCCCAGUAGU